UACGUAGGGGGCGAGCGUUGUCCGGAAUCAUUGGGCGUAAAGCGCGUGUAGGCGGUUCGGUAAGUCUGCUGUGAAAGUCCAGGGCUCAACCCUGGGAUGCCGGUGGAUACUGCCGAACUAGAGUGCGGAAGAGGCGAGUGGAAUUCCCGGUGUAGCGGUGAAAUGCGCAGAUAUCGGGAGGAACACCAAUUGCGAAGGCAGCUCGCUGGGACGUGACUGACGCUGAGACGCGAAAGCGUGGGGAGCAAACAGGAUUAGAUACCCUAGUAGUCC
RNAcentral lists this ribosomal RNA (273 nucleotides) under uncultured bacterium. RNAcentral describes it as "partial 16S ribosomal RNA". It matches the Rfam family "Bacterial small subunit ribosomal RNA", at positions 524 to 796 of the family's 1533-position model. The record is from RNAcentral.